GUUGUUGGUGCAUCUCUGAGUUGAUGAUAGUCUUCACAGUUUAUUAUCGUUCCAUCAUUUUUAACUGUUUUUUUUCACUGGUUUUUUAGUCCCCUCCCCACCCCACAGGCAGCAAAAAAACACCCGAAAAGAAAACACUCCCAUCGAUCCCCUUCCAAUCGAUCCCUUUGUCGCCGCCCUCGCACUCGCGUCAAGCGCCCUCGAUCCCUGCGCUACCUCCCUUCGCCGCCGCUGCCACAGAUCCCUUCCCCGCUUCAGGAGCCGCCGAUGAUCCCUUUCAGGAGCCACGGGUAUCUUCUCUCUCGGGACGCUGCUCCGACACGAUCCGGUAAGGAGACAGGCCUCCGUGUGCGGCAACGAAGGCGGCGAGUGGCGGGCGACGGCCGACCCUUCACUCCGCCUCCGGCCCUCUCGGCCUCUCCUCCGCAAGUCCGCCUUCACCCACAUGCGCCCUCCACGGCUCCACGGCUGACGGCUCCAGUGCUCCACUCCCGGCAGUCUGGCACUGCCUUCGUCGCUGCAGUGGACUGCGUAGCCGUCAGACUUCGUCGCUGCAGUGGACUACAUCGAUCCAACCAUCCCUCAUACAUCUACUGAUCUACAAGCAUCAGCUAUCCACUCUGUUUUUAAACAAAUCUGAUUUUUUUUGUAAAUUACCACUGCCACUGAUUGCUAGAAGGAAUAGAACUCCAUACGUGACAUUAGAUUCGGCACCAGCUUCUAACCCGGUGUAUUACUAAUAGAAUUUGUUCACGGGAUCGCAUUCUGAGCAUGAGCUUGCCAUGCUUUUUCUCUGUUUCCGGCGUUGCCAGUUUACAUGUGGUCCUCCUAUAUCAGCCCGGUAGUUUCAGCAACGCGAUAUAUAUGUGGCAUCUUCGCCCACUUGAAAUGGUAAUACAUCUAUAUAUUUUGGCAGGCAUCUAUUUUGUAUGCUUGAUUAAAAAUGAGUUUUGAGUAUACAUUGUUUUGAGUAUACAUUGUACGUCGUGGAAGGAGCCGGCGCUGGAGCUGCGCGCUCCUGGACGGGGACGGCGGCCUGGACAUGCUCCAGGAGAUGUUCGUCGUGUCGAGCAUCCUACCCAUUGGCAGCCAGAGAUCCUCGACGGUUCCGUGUGGCCUUAACCGUCGCUAGGCUCCCUGCACGCAUGCCCCAACUCUUCUACCUCCUCUCAGGCAUGAUGUUAUAUCAAUGAAAACCUUGCAAGGUAAAAUGAUGGUCCUGAAUGGGUUAGACACAUAUACUGCAUCAAUGGAAACAAAGGCGACACCUCUCUCUAUUGUGCUUCUAUCUGUUCUGUGGAUCAAUUCAAAAUGUUGAUCGUUAUGGGUCGAUAAAAAAUGUCCAAAAUCUGAUGUGUGGUGAUCAGCUGGUCAAAAAAGUGACGGUGUGUGACGAUCGGACGACCGGAUAAUCGGACGUCUUCUUCUUCAAGCUCCCAGCAUGCCGUACUCUCCAUCUCUUGUCUCUUUCGCACGGCGGGGCAGAGGGAGUUGAUUGAGGACCGCAUCGUUGGCGACCCAGUGCAAGCACGUGGCAGCGACUACGAUGCACAUUAGGCUACUGUUCUUCUACCGGUACGCAGCGGCCGUGUGCCGCCGCCGAGCUCUUCAUUGGCGUCCUCCUGGUACACCAUCAUGCAGCACCAAGGUUAAAAAAACGCCAUAUUGUUGGUCCCUUUCAAUUGAAAUAUUCCUUUUAUAUGAUCAGGUCAUAAGUAUGUGAUCUGCAAGGUUUAUAUAAAAAAGGAUUUCCAAUUAUGAUAAGUUGUAGCUUAUUGAUCCCAACUGUUAGACCAUGUGUGCUCACUGAUUUCCCCAUCUGAAUGUCCGUACACCGAAACAAACGUAGCAGUCGUAUGCCAACUGCUUGUCGAGUUGCAUCAUUAGCCUAAGCAGAUAGCCAUCUUGCAUAUUGUUUGCCCCAAUAAUAUUUCUCAUUUUUGCUGAUGCAUCUUUUGCCCCCAUUGGAGUUAUGGUUAUCUUCUUACAUGGUUAACAUGUCAAUUUUGUAAACAAGGAACCAUUCAUAACCAGCAAUCUUGAUUAGCUUAUGCCCGUUGUCUCGUAUCAAUUUUGAGUCUUAGUUUGUUCACCAUCAUCAAUAAGUGGGACCUUUCAUUUCUUCACAAAUGUCGGCGAACUCACCAAAUCGUUCAACUCAUCAACUCACAAAAUGCACGACCAUCAAGC
Long non-coding RNA from Triticum dicoccoides, 2190 nucleotides. RefSeq lists it as uncharacterized. The transcript has 3 exons. NCBI's taxonomy places the organism in Eukaryota, Viridiplantae, Streptophyta, Magnoliopsida, Poales, Poaceae. The record is from RefSeq and is a predicted model, not a curated record.